Molecule: long non-coding RNA, 5108 nt
Filed under: Gallus gallus (chicken)
Lineage: Eukaryota; Metazoa; Chordata; Aves; Galliformes; Phasianidae
Source: RNAcentral
CCUAAAGCAAUUGGGAGCAGCAAAUAUAGAAUGGCAGUAACAGUCAAAUACAAUUCCACACAACUUUUGCAGGAGACUAGAUUUAAUUCGCUUUACAGGACAGUUGGCCAAACAAUGACAUUUAUCAUAAAAAUAUCCUCUCCAUUAAGUAAAUCUCAUUUUUCUUUCCAAAAGAAAAUUCAACAUAUAGCCUGAGCGUUCAGUAGCUCAUUUUCAUCAUCCGCCCACACAGAUUUUUCUUAACAGAACAAAACAAUUCAGUUAAAAAAAAAAAAAAUGCAGACCCAUGUAAUGACACAGUCAUAUUGCUUUUGGCUAUGUUAACUUAAAACCAUACCAAUUUAGCUACCUUUCCUUAGGUUUUAUUAGAAAAAAGCAGCAGAUCAACAUUACAAUUCAGAAUCUAAUCUAAAUAUGCACUUGACAAUGAAGCACAUCUGAAUAUGGAGUGAAAAAGGAUUCCAGAAAACCUUCAGUUUUGCCAAUCUCCUGCUACCCACACCAUGCAUCUUCUCUUCUGGCUUUUCGAUGACCGAAAUCAAACAGGGAACAAAAGAUUUAUGGCUAUGAAAACAAAACCAUAGUACAGUAGUAUGAGUUCUGGGUGCUAGGUGUAUUCCAUCAAGUUAACUUACGGACUUCAAAACGUACUUAAAUCUUCUGUUUGGCCAUGAAAGUCCAUGAAAGCUGACUGACCCAAAUACAAACUGAAAUGUCAGGUCUGGACAAAAAAAAAAAAAGUUAGACAGCAUGUUAACCUCCAGUUUUCAGACAGUAAUAAAAAGAUACAAUUCCAACAGCCAAAAAAUUAAAAUAGAAAUGUUGAUCUGACAUUCAAGAGCUAAGUUUAUUCUUACGCUCAUUUUCUUUGCGCCCAAAAUUAUUUGAGACCCACCAGGGAAAAAAGAAGUAUUUAUGGACUAUCACACAAUUGAAAAAAAAAGAGAAUUGCGUUUUGACUUGGUUAUCAUCCCCCACUGAGGUAUAAAAUCUACAUAUAAAUUUGAUACUUCACUAUAACAAAUUGUACUUUUCAUAGUUCUGAUUUAGUUUCCAUUCAACCCUGUUUACUUUUUUUUUUUUUCCUUAAACCACAGAAUUCUUAUUUCAUGUUAUUGAAUCCAUUUCCCAGCUCUCUGCUUAUUUGUAGAUCUGUAUUUAGUAGUCUGGUUACCACUUCUAACCAGGAAAAAAAAAAAGUCUUGGAACUUUCUUCCUUACAACAGCACUUUCAGCAGAGGUUACUGAUGUGCAAGCAAACUACGACGAUAUGCAGCUCCUCAGAAAGAAUAUUUCAUUGAUUAUGUUUCCACUGUCCAAAUGUUCUCUACGUGAUUUGCUGGAAGAAACUCUUUCAAUCUUGUAAACAUCAGUGGGCGCAGUCUCACUAGUAUAUGUGGUAGUUUCACAUCCUUUUACAGGAAGGCUGGUUCACAGCUACAGAAAAGCUGCAGGAGUUCUAACAGGUGGCAAACUGUGGAUUCUGCAGAGAAGUUUCCUUCUGUUGCUACUUAACAGUGUAGCCAAAAUAUUAGCCGAGGUAGCCCAGUCAAUCCUUUAUUUUCUUUAGAACCUCUCAGAAUAUUUCUGGAAGGGUGACGUUGCGAAGUAGCCACUGCUGAGAGCGGCUGCCGUUGCAGUCUCUGAUGCUGGGUACCUGGCUGUCUUCUUCGGUGGCUUUGUCCAGGCACUGAUUACUGUUCACAUGCAGCAGGGUUAAUUUCACUGGAUCAUAUUCCCAAAGCUGAUUUCCUUUUAGAUGGUGGCACUUGAGCAUUGUUACCGGGCCAUUAAGUUUGGAGACAUCUAAACACAAAUCAUCUGUUCGAAUUUCUUUGUUGGCUGUAUAUGAGAAAACCUGAUUUCCACCCAUUCCGUGGCAGUUAAAGAUCCCAACUUUUUCAUUUUCUUUUCUUGCCAUGUUAUCCAGACAUUGAUUUGUUUCCACGUUUCUUAUCUCCCCCAAAGAAAAAUAAUGGCGUGGAAUUUGGGAAUCAGGAUAAACAUUCUCCAGGUACCAGGAGAAAGGCUUACACUGAAGCUUGCGUCUCAAUCCAAGUCGUGAUGAUAUGUCCCCAUAGUCAACUUUAGUAACUCCUGGGGAAAUGAUAUAAAAAAAGUUUUUGAAUUCAUCCAUCCAGACUUCUGCAAGCCGUCUGUUAUUUUUGUUGAUUAUCUGCCCUGUACCUCCUGGAAAAGUAUAUGGUGUUGCUUUUCUGAACACAUGCCCGACAUGUGAACAAGUUACAAUUUCCAAAGUGCCACCACACUGCCAAAUCCUGAAAGAAAUUUCUAAGUUUUCUCCACCCCAAAUAUCCAUUCCAGCAUCAUACGUUCCAAUUUCCUGAAAGUAAUCUCUGUCUAUUGAAAAAAGACCUCCUGCCAUUGUAGGCGUCCUAACAGGAAGAGUUCGAUCUCCUUUCCGUCGAUCCAUCUCUCUCUGAGGAACCGGAUACCAACGAAAAUUCAACUUCCAGUUGAAACCACCAUAGGUCAUAUCAGAACCUGCCAUGUAUUCAAAGGUGUCAUCACUAAUAACAUCAAUGAUGGGACACACGACUGUUCUCCUGUCAGCUUUGAUCCUUGCCAGCAGAGGUUCAAGCCAGCCUACUGUACAUUCACAAUGAGCAUCUAAGAAGGUGAUGACCUGGCCUUUGGAAGCGGCAGCCCCCUUUAAUCUAGCUCUGAUCAAACCAGAGCGCUGUUCCAUUCGAAUCACAUGGACAGGUACUUUUAAUUUUUUUACAUAGCUCUCCAGUGGUCUUUUCAGAAAGUCUCUUUCACUGGCAUCAUCAACAAGUACAAUUUCUUCCAGCAUGUGUCGUGGUGACCGGUUUAUCACACUAUGAACAGUUCGUAGAAGUGUGCUCCAAGCCUCAUUGUGAAAAACAAUGACAACGCUUGUUGUGGGAAGGUUGUCUGCAUACACCUUUGUUUUACAACCUUCUAACCGGACAUCAGGUAAAGAUCUGUUGAGUGCAAUCAUUUCACUUGCCAUUAAGUUAAACUGGUUUAUUUUAAACAUUUCUUUCAUUUUUUCUUGCUCCUCUUUUGGAAUGACCACAGGCUUCCCCAUCUCUCCAGGUCCUUCAUGUGGUUUUUGUAUGGGUUCUGGAACAUCUCCAGCAGGCAGCCCUCGUUCUUUCUUCUCAUCACAUUUGUUGCAUUCACUGAAGUAGAGCAGUAGAAACAUAUCCAGAAGGACCCAAACCAAAGAGGUGGCAAGGACCACCUUGCAAUAUGCAAAUUUUUUCAUGGCACUUUAAGUCAAAUACAAAAAUAAAAAAAAGUAUAAAUAAAAAUAUCAACAGGUUGUUUUAAUCCAGUUUGAGAGACCACGUUCUGUAUCUCCUCUGCAGGUUUACAGCCAUCUGGAUGGUCCACAAGCACUGGUGGUGAAAUCCCACUGCACUGCAGUCAAGCGCUUGCGGUAGGAACCACGGAGUGGCAAAGUGAUCUAGGUCAUUCUGACAUGAACACAGAACCACAGGUCUUCCAUCCAAAAGGUCUUAAGGCUGUCCUCAGUGACUCUCGGGGCCGGCGGGAGACGAAGGGCGGCGGCGAGGCUGCCCCGGCCCCGCUGUCACCGGCCGCCCGGGGCAGAGUCCCGCGGGGCGAAUCCUCGGGCGACGCCGGCGGCGAGUCGAUUCGCGGCCGGCCUCGCCGCCGUCGCGCGGCCGGGCGCUGCCGGCGGCGGCCGCUACGGCCGGGGCACCGCCGGGCACGGAGCGCCGCCGGCCGCCGCCGCCUCGGCCCCCUCUUCCUGCGGCCGCCGGCGGCCGCGCUCGGGGCGCAGUCACGCGGAGCACCGCGGAGAAGCCGCCGCUUCGCUCAGCACCUCGGAGCCCGCCGCCGCGCUCCCGCUCCGCAUCCCCCGUCCUCCGCGCACCGGCGGCGGCGCCUCCGGCCGCGCGUCUGCCGGCCGCUCUCCCGCGCGCGCCGCUGCCGCCCGAGCCCCGCUCAGCGCCGCGUCUCCAUCGCCAGCGCGGGGGCGGGCGCAGGGAAAGGGGCGGGGGCGGGGGCGGCCCCGGCCGCCCGCGCGCCCGCGCCCCCUAGGUGGAGCCCGAGCGCCCGCCCCGCCCCGCCGGAGCCCGGAUGUGCCGCGGGGAUGCCGGCGGGGCGUUCGGCUCUCCCCGGGCACCCGCGUUGUGUGGAGGUGCGAGGGCGGAGGUGUCUCCCGGCGACUUUGCCUCCGCCGUUUGGUGAGCGCUGCCCGCCUGCGCGUCGGCAGUGGGUGUGCCAGCUGUCACCUGGGGAUCCGUCAGCAAAUGAAAGCAUCCCACUGCAUCCACGGCGAGCACCGAGUACCCCCCCCCUUGGGGACGGGGCCCACUGCAGCAUCGAUGCGUUAGAUGUGCAUCCUGUAAUGAGUGCUUUUAGAGCGUGAGUGCUUAAUAAAGCUAAAAAGCCGCUCCAGAAACCAAAUGAGGAAAAUUCUUUAACGCUUGAAUUCUGGGAGCUGCUUUAUCUUUCCCUACUCUUAAAUGCAGCUUUGUUAAUGUUACAGAUCAAAGUUUAUAAGCUCUCUUUGCAAAAUGUAACUAGCAAACAAAGUUUUCGUGAAGGAAAUAAGUAACUUGAACACAGGUGUCCCUCCCUGGACAGCCUGUGCCACCGCCUCGCUGCUCUUUCUGAGAAGAGAUUUCUCCAAUUACCCAACCUGAACCCAUCCUGGCACAACUUACGGCCGUUACCUUUUAUCCUAUCACUGCUACCUGGGAGAAGAGGCUGACCUCCACCUCUUCACAACCUCCCUUCAGGUAGUUGUAGAGAGCUAUAAGGUCUCCGCUGAGCCUCCUGUUCUCCAGACUGAACAAUCCCAGUUCCCUCAGCAGCUCUCCGUAAGGCCUGUGCUCCAGAUCCCUCACAGUUUCGUUGCCCUUCUCUGAACACACUCCAGGGCCUCGCCGUCUUUCUUGUAGUGAGGGGCCCAAAAUGAAACACGGCACUGAAGGUGCAGCCUCACCAGUGCUGAGUACAGAGGGACGAUCACCUCGCUGCUCCUGCUGGCUGCACUAUUCCUGACACAACCCAGGAUGCCAUUGGCCUUCUUGGCCAGCUGGCCAACAGCAGGAAGGAAAAAAAUAAAAGGUGUUCAGACAAAUCAG